CCUACGGGCGGCAGCAGGGAGGAAUAUUGGUCAAUGGGCGCGAGCCUGAACCAGCCAAGUCGCGUGAGGGAUGAAGGUUCUAGGGAUGGUAAACCUCUUUUAUAAGGGAAUAAAGUGUGGGAGGUGUCCUAUUUUGUAUGUACCUUAUGAAAAAGGAUCGCUUAACUCCGUGCCAGCAGCCGGGGUAAUACGGAGGAUCCGAGCGUUAUCCGGAUUUAUUGGGUUUAAAGGGUGCGUAGGCGGCCUUUUAAGUCAGCGGUGAAAGUCCGUGGCUCAACCAUAGAAUUGCCGUUGAAACUGGGGGGCUUGAGUAUGUUUGAGGCAGGCGGAAUGCGUGGUGUAGCGGUGAAAUGCUUAGAUAUCACGCAGAACCCCGAUUGCGAAGGCAGCCUGCCAAGCCAUGACUGACGCUGAUGCACGAAAGCGUGGGGAUCAAACAGGAUUAGAUACCCGUGUAGUC
Molecule: ribosomal RNA, 460 nt
Filed under: uncultured bacterium
Lineage: Bacteria
Description: partial 16S ribosomal RNA
Rfam family: Bacterial small subunit ribosomal RNA
Source: RNAcentral